Molecule: long non-coding RNA, 1873 nt
Organism: Planococcus citri (citrus mealybug)
Lineage: Eukaryota; Metazoa; Arthropoda; Insecta; Hemiptera; Pseudococcidae
Exons: 3
Source: RefSeq, a predicted model, not a curated record
UUAUUGAGUACGUCUAUAAAUGAAUAAAUGAUAAUUAAUCAUUUUGUUGUAAUAAGUGCACAGCACCCUUAUACGAUGAUAAUGAUUACGUAGAAUAACUUGGACGUUUCCAUGACGUUAAGAAAUUGGACUGAAAAUUUUUGCGAAAAUGUCUUCGAUUUCUCGUAAAUAUAAACGGCUAUUCAAUAUCUACUUCAGUAAUGAAUGAAACAAAAUUUCUCGCGGUUUAUCCAGAUGUUCGAAGUAAAAUGGAAAUUGCUUUGAAUGAUUUAAUUAUUCUCAUUUUGGUAUUAGUUAUAAAACAAAUAUUCAAUUUGGUGCAGAUGCUGGUGUUUUACUCGUCCAUGAUGAGUAUGAUGAAAUACGUUCGAGGAAUGUUUGUUUUGGUCACUGUUAUUAUUGAGAUAAUUUUCGUUUCUUCUUUAAGCAUAGGAUUCUCAUUACCAGGAUUAUUUUUAACGGUCAUUUCAUUUAUGGAAGUCAUGACGUCUCUUGUAUUUGUGCCUUUUGAUUAUCGUUGGUAGCGAUAAAUUGAUGCUUUGAGAAUUUAAGGAAUCUGGAAGUAUUUUUACUCCAAAAUACAUGAACUGAAAGGUAUGAGAUAACGCCUACAUGUAUACCUUUACCUAUUGCCUACACAUAAUCUUAUGAAUACGUAUACCAAGGAAUGAAUUUUAUUAAUUAUUAGGUUAUUUUAUUUUAUUUUUAAUUUGAAUUCCUGCUACAACAUAAGUGCAUUAUGGUAUGAUAAAAUAAUACAUUUCUACGGAUAGAUGUGUACUGUGUAGGUUUAGAUAGGUACCUAUAGAGUUACAUAGCGUGUAGAUGUACUCGUACCUCUACCUAUAUGUGCUUUUGAUUCUGUGUUACCUACGUAUGUGUGUUUUUUAAAAACAGAGUUCUAGAUCUACUGCAGGUGAGAUAAAUACAAUACGAGUUAGUACAUAUUUUUAUUUGUUACCUCGUGUAAGGUAUUUUUAAAUCCUUGCGCACAAGAACGAUUAUUUUCAUUUUGUUUUUUAAAAAAACUAGUCGUAUGUUACUUUGAUUUCAUUUUUCAAACUGUAUCAUGUAAAAUGUUAGGUAUAGAACAGUGAUAUUGUUCUCAUUAAAAUUUAUCUAAUUACCUGAUACCUACACUUACUUAUAAAGUAUGAGAAUGAAAUACGCAGGUUUUCUUUUAGUGAAUUUUUCGCAGGAAAGAAGACGACCGUAGUCCGUAAUGUUCUUGUUAUAUUCUCCUAAUGAUUAUAUCUGUGAAAUGUGAUCACAACGAGCAUAGAGUAUGAUCAGGGCUGUGAGGUAAUUUAUGUUGGUAAAUUACGGCGGUAUUUUACCGUAUUUUACGGUAUUUUACCAAAAGUUUAUUACCGUAUUUUACCGUAAUUUACCAAAAAGCUAAAUUAACACUUUUUUUCCAUCUUUCCUUCAUAAAUUUCCAAAUUUCCAUGGAAUUUUAUGAUUUGAAAGUUACCAAAAAUUUUCCCCAUAAAUUUCCAAAAAAUCGGGGAUUGUGGAGCGGUCCGGGAGCAGGAGCCGAAGCAAGAGGUACUUGAAAUUUUUCUACUGGAGGCGGAGGUACUUACAAAAAAACCCCAGAGCCGGAGCUGGAGCCGGAGGUAUUUUUUUUUCAAAUAACCGGAGGGGAAGGCUCUAACCCCCCCUCCUCGACCUCCGGAGGCGGAGCUGGAGGGCAGGAGCCCCCCGGAGGGUACCCUUUUUUGGGCCUUGCUCCGGGAGCCGGAGCAGGAGGUUCUUGAAAUUUUUCAAGUGGAGCCGGAGGUGGAGAUGGAGGUACUCAUAAAAAAUCUCCGGAACCAGAGGUAUUUUUUUUUUCAAAUUUGGAAGCCGGAGCUGGAGAUGGAGGCACUGA